This 777-nucleotide ribosomal RNA is filed under the name uncultured Neocallimastigales. RNAcentral describes it as "partial large subunit ribosomal RNA". It matches the Rfam family "Eukaryotic large subunit ribosomal RNA", at positions 23 to 621 of the family's 3401-position model. The record is from RNAcentral. Lineage: Eukaryota; Fungi; Neocallimastigomycota; Neocallimastigomycetes; Neocallimastigales.
GAGACUCUGUGCGCGUGCAUAUCAAUAAGCGGAGGAAAAGAAACUAACAAGGAUUCCCUUAGUAACGGCGAGUGAAGCGGGAAGAGCUCAAAUUUGAAAUCUUCAAGGUUCUACCUUGACGAAUUGUAGUUUAAAGAAGUGUUUUCUGUUGAAGUUUUGGUAAAAGUUCUUUGGAAUAGGACAUCAUAGAGGGUGAGAAUCCCGUAUUUGGUCAUUCUUUCUAGCUUUGUGAUACACUUUCAACGAGUCGGAUUGUUUGGGAAUGCAGUCCAAAAUGGGUGGUAAACUUCAUCUAAAGCUAAAUAUUGGCGAGAGACCGAUAGCGAACAAGUACCGUGAGGGAAAGAUGAAAAGAACUUUGAAAAGAGAGUUAAACAGUACGUGAAAUUGUCAAAAGGGAAGCGUUUGACACCAGUGUUGUUUUUCCGAAAAUCAAUUACGAAUGUUUUGUUUUUGAGGAGUUAUGACUUCAUCGGCUUGCUCCUUUCUUUAUCGAAACUUUCUUAAUGCACUUUUCGGUUAACAAGUCAACAUCAAUUUCUUUUGUUGUAAAGAGGUCAUGAGGAAGGUGGCUUUCUUUUCGGAGAAAGUGUUUAUAGCCUUGUGCCUCUGCAAUCGGAGAGAUUGAGGUCUGCAGCGUAGAUCCUUCGGGGUUAGAUACAGUUUGUGCUAAGUUAUAGCCUUUCAUAGACAACUUGUUGACUAUGAUCAGUCAUGUAGCUUACUCGCUUAUGCUAUUUUACCUACGCUUAGGAUGUUGAACUCUAUCACACACAG